GAGAAGCUUGCGGCUGAUUAGCUUGUUGGUAAGGUAAUGGCUUACCAAGGCGACGAUCAGUAUCUGGUUUGAGAGGACGAUCAGACACACUGGAACUGAGACACGGUCCAGACUCCUACGGGAGGCAGCAGUAGGGAAUUUUCCGCAAUGGGCGAAAGCCUGACGGAGCAAUACCGCGUGAGGGAUGAAUGCCUAUGGGUUGUAAACCUCUUUUUUCAGGGAGGAACAAAAUGACGUGUACCUGAAGAAUAAGCAUCGGCUAACUCCGUGCCAGCAGCCGCGGUAAGACGGAGGAUGCAAGUGUUAUCCGGAAUCACUGGGCGUAAAGCGUCUGUAGGUUGUUAAUUAAGUCAACUGUUAAAACUUGAGGCUUAACCUCAAAAUCGCAGUCGAAACUAUUUAACUAGAGUAUAGUAGGGGUAAAGGGAAUUUCCAGUGGAGCGGUGAAAUGCGUAGAUAUUGGAAAGAACACCGAUGGCGAAGGCACUUUACUGGGCUAUUACUAACACUCAGAGACGAAAGCUAGGGUAGCAAAUGGGAUUAGAU
Molecule: ribosomal RNA, 546 nt
Filed under: uncultured bacterium
Lineage: Bacteria
Description: bacterial SSU rRNA
Rfam family: Bacterial small subunit ribosomal RNA
Source: RNAcentral